GCGACCUGCCCAUUGAAUUAUAUUUUUAACGGCCGCAGUACCUUGACUGUGCUAAGGUAGCAUAAUAAAUUGACUCUUAAUUGGGGCCUUGAAUGAAAGGAUUAAUGAAUAAUUUCUGUCUUAUGAUAAUUUAUUAGAAGCUACUUAAAAGGUGAAAAUUCCUUUAUAAUAUAAAAUAGACGAGAAGACCCUAGGAGUUUUAAAAUUUUGUUGGGGCGACAAUAUAGCAUAAAACCUAUAGAUAUAAUUUAUAUAAAUCGAAUUUUUUUAAUUAAAAAUAAACUACCCUAGGGAUAACAGCACAAUUUUAAUUUAAGUUUGUGACCUCGAUGUUGGACUAGGG
RNAcentral lists this ribosomal RNA (343 nucleotides) under Nitor subrugatus. RNAcentral describes it as "partial 16S ribosomal RNA". It matches the Rfam family "Archaeal large subunit ribosomal RNA", at positions 1946 to 2611 of the family's 2987-position model. Lineage: Eukaryota; Metazoa; Mollusca; Gastropoda; Stylommatophora; Helicarionidae. The record is from RNAcentral.